UUUUGAGCUAGCAUAGCUUCGUUGAUAGGCUAACUCCUAACAGCAACUCGAACACAACAACAAUCGUUUCCGGCGUCCAAUCAGAUCGUUCAGAACUAAAACAAGUAAUGAACAUGUUUGUAUGAGCUGCAGACAUCCCAACGGCUUUCAGGGAAACGUUACCGGCUCCCUUUAAUUAAAGCCAAUUACGCCCCACAAAAAGCCUUUUCAUUAGUUUUAUGUUUUAUUCUAAUUAAUGAGAUCCUGGAAAAUUCAACUUAUCACUUCUGGCUCAACGGCCUCAGAAAUCUGAAGGAGCCAAAACGUUUUGUUCCUGGACGAACCGGGUUGAGGCAGAACGCUGAAAACAAACCGAUUCAACCGAGAUCAUGGAGGUUAUACCUGCAGACAGACAGACACAGAGACAGACAGACAGAAACAGAGACAGACAGACAGACAGACAGACAGACAGAAACAGAAACAGACAGACAGACAGACAGACAGACAGAAACAGAGACAGACAGACAGACGAUCCUGGACGAGUCCAGCCCAUCUGACCCGGAUAAUAUUCUCUUUUUCAUUAAAUCUGAGCUCAACUUUCAACUCUUCUGACUGAAAAUGUGUUUUUUUAUAAAUAGGUGAAAAAUGAAAGACUUGAACUUUGAGGAUUUUCUGUUUUAGCUCCUUUAGCUUCGACAGAUUUCAGCUCCACCCAGAAACACGGAGAGGAGAAAUAUUAAGUUUCAGACCAAAAUGAAACAGCAAAAGCUGUUUAAUUACAGACACAAACACGGCCGAGAAUUAUAGAGCAGCGUGAAGAGGAUUAAUUACAGCUAUAAGACCUGCAGCUAAUGUUCAGAGCGACGCUAAUGCUAAUGACAGGAGAGGCUCCCCUGCAGCUUUAACUCACUGACCUUCACUCACCUGCAGAAAUGCAACCAGCUAAUAAUCCACUGGAUGUUUUAUGGAUCUGUUAGGAAGUAAAAUGUUGGAAUAUUGUUUAAAAUAAAAGAUUUAAUAAAUAUAAAAGGCAUUUGGCCUUAUUAAUAAAGUGAGAUAUCAUGAACCAACUAAUAAACUCAAAGUUAUAUCUGCAGAUUUAAAGACAUUGUUUGUACUAAAAUACUCUAAAUAAUGUAUAAAGAGAUGAACACAAGUUUUCCUUCUGGAAUUCAGAAAUGACUUAAAGGUUAGAAAAGUUAGAAUAGAUACACAAAACCUGUUUAUUACAUUUUUAUAUCAAAUCUUUUUUUGUCUAUUUUAGCUCCUUCAGAUGUUUUAGUUUUCUGUUGAGUUUUAAAGAUGUAGCAGCUGAUAUUACUGUGCAGAUGUAUAAAUGUGUUGUUUAUCCAUAACUGUGUCAUAUUUAAAUAAUUCUCUGAUCAUGUUUAAUAAUGUGACCAGUUUGUUUCUUCAUGAACAGGACAAGUUAUCAGUUUCUAUUAAAAAUAGUAUUUUAUGUUAAUUUCUUUUCUGUAAUGUUGUAAGUUUACCAAACUAAAGUUAAUCUAAAUGUGAGGUGAGUUUCUUUUUCUCUGUCCAGUUUUAUGCUGACGUGUUUUUCCAGUCCAGUCGUUGUGAUGGGAUCUAACUGGAAACCAGUUGUUGGUGCUGGGAGAUAAUAAAUAGUCUGCAGGAUUUCAUGGCCUGUCAGUUUGUGCUACAGUAACAUCAGGACUGAAGGGAAACGGCGCCGUUAACGAGGCAGAGUAACGGCUGAUUGGACGCCCGCCGCCGGACCGCCGUCCGUCAUCCUGACGGGCCGUCCGGGGGCCGGCGCCGCGGCCCCGUCAGGUUCCCCACUAUUUUAGUCCCACUGUGGACGUGUUCCUGUCAGGAGGAAGGGCCGCUCGUCUUCAUCAGCCGCAGGACAGAAACCUGUCAGCAGGAACUCAAACCGUCCAGAACAGCCAGAACGGACCAGUUAAAGCCCAACGCACCAGUUCAUCCAGGAAGUGAAACGAUUUAUCCAGGAAAGCAGCUGAUUGGACCAGAGGAGAAAAACGUGUUGAGUUGUUUUCUUUCAGGUUCAGGAUGAAAUCUGUUCGGUUUAUUCAGAAUUCAUCUGGUGGCUUUAAAAUCAGCAGCCUGGGAUCAACGCGUCCAUUUUUACAGUGCAGAGAGUCACAGUGAUAACGCAGCAUCACACACCCACAUGCAGCCCGGUGUGUGUGUGUGUGUGUGUCAUCGGCCAGCGUAGCCGGCAGGAGAAGGCAGCUGUCUGACCACAUCUACACACACUGCAUGAGAAGGUGCUCACACACACACAUUCUCUCUCUCUCUCACACACACACACACAUUCUCUCUCUCUCACACACACACACACAUUCUCUCUCUCUCUCUCACACACACACACUCUGAGCUGCAUGUGAGCCGUUCAUCUGCAUGAGGGAAGUCGAGGCAAAAACCGGUGAACCAGUCAGGAUCCUCCGUUCAUUAACCCUCAUUAAGCAGGCAGUGAGUGUGUGUGUGUGUGUGUGUGGGUGUGGGUGUGUGUUUGUGUGUGUGUUCAGAGUUAACAGACCGGUACGUCACACAGAGUUUGUUUAUCAUAAAUAUCAUCACUUUGGUAACAAUACCUGUAAAUAUUUCAUUAAUCUCUAAAACCUUUAAUGAAAAAUUACAGUCAGUUAUAAAUAAAAGAGUAAAAAUGGUAAAAAUGUGAUUCUAGAACUGAAUGUUUAAUAAAAGCUUCUGAUAAAAUCAGAGAGAAAACAAGAAACAUUUUGUGUAAAUUCAGGAAGAAAGUUUUUCACUAAAACAAAAAAACAUUUUCUGAUGCAAAGCGUUAAAAUUAGAACGUUUUUAUAAUCUAACUUUCUGAUUUUUACAUCAUUAUAAAGGUAAAACUUUCUCUCCAAUAAUCCACAAACAUAAAAAGGUUUCAGAAGGUUUCAGUAAAAACGAUCUCUGUGCCUUACCAGAGCCACCAGUCUGUGUCUGUGCCUCUGGUAAGGCAGUAACAUGUUCGUUAAAUAUGUUUAGAAAACCUGAACUGGAUCAUUCUGGUGAAAUCAUGGAUUUAUUGGGACCAAAUUAUUUGGAAAGUUCAGCUACAUUUUAAUAAUCUGUUCAGAAUUUAUUAAAUAGAUCCAGUCUGACAACAUGAAGUAGGCAAGACAAACUUUACCUAGCAACAAGAAAAAUAUGUUUUCUUUUUCAUAACACAAACUCACUAAUAAACAACUUCAAGAUAAUUUGACAUCGUUCUCUUGGAGUUUGUCUGAACAGUCUUUACAUUAUUAUUGUUGUUAAUAAAUGGUGUUUAUGUUAUUAGUGUUGCUGUUUCUUUCAGGCCUUAAAUAGAAACAGAAAACGUGACGAACCAUCGAAACGUUGAUUUUUAAUGCUGAAGAGCUGCAGACGUGCUGCAGACGUGCUGCAGACGUGCUGCAGACGUGCUGCAGACGUGCUGCAGACGUGCUGCAGACGUGCAGCUCUGACCGGUCAGCGCCGCGUCUGCAUCGGCUUUAUGUAACCGCAGUCUGAGCUCAUUAGACACAAACUGAAACAAACGAUGACUAAAUGCAGGCAGACGGAGUCCAGUCGGGUCAGGAACCAGGUCACAAAGUUUGUUUCUCUGUCAGAUCAGUUCAAGUUCACUCAGCUGCAGCCUGGUCAGAACCAGAGUUCAGACUUCAGUUGUUUUAUUUAAAUGAAGGUUGAAUCUUUAGAACGAAGGACCUGAGUUCAGGAUCAGACCAGGUUGAUGCGACGCGUCGCUCUGUUUUGUUUUACGCCAACAUUCAUGCGACAGGAAGUGCGGCGAAGUUCUGCUGGUGUCGUGUGAGUUGGACCUGAAUGCUUCACAUCCUCACCGCCGUCCAGCAUCAGGAACCGCCAGGCAGAAAAACACGACGGAGGAAAAUGAAGAUUUAAGCAGCGUGGCUCGUCAAAAUAAAAGCUUCUGCCUCAUAAUUCUUAUAAGACCUACAAUAAAUAACACAUUUAUUUA
This is a long non-coding RNA of Xiphophorus hellerii (green swordtail), 3934 nucleotides long. RefSeq lists it as uncharacterized. The transcript is spliced from 2 exons. The record is from RefSeq and is a predicted model, not a curated record. NCBI's taxonomy places the organism in Eukaryota, Metazoa, Chordata, Actinopteri, Cyprinodontiformes, Poeciliidae.